Cervus elaphus (red deer) is the source of this 447-nucleotide long non-coding RNA. RefSeq lists it as uncharacterized. The transcript has 3 exons. The record is from RefSeq and is a predicted model, not a curated record. NCBI's taxonomy places the organism in Eukaryota, Metazoa, Chordata, Mammalia, Artiodactyla, Cervidae.
GGGGACAACAAAGGAUGAGAUGGUUGGAUGGCAUCAAUGACUCAAUGGACAUGAGUUUAGAUUGCUGAAAUCUGUCAAAAGCUCCUCAAAAGAUUCAAGCAUUCUCUUGAAAAGGACUAAUUACAUACCAUUAAAGUCCCGGUGGAGUUCCCCCGAUAACCCUGCCACCGCUGUCCAUCGAGGCUGUACAUGAUGAUAAACUGAGAGAUGUACAGGCUGGAGAACUUCUGCCGGGCACCCUGAGUCAGGAUGCUGUGAAUAAUCAUCGGCACCAACAGAUCCACCUACCAAUGAAAGCAACACUUGAUUUUACAUAGAGGGACAUAUCCCCAGGGCCUAGACCUUGAAAGGAGCUCCUCAGCAAGCACUGGAAGUUGAAGACAGAGCACAAACUGGUUUGUACCUGGGUAGAGAUUGUAGACUGCCAUUUUAUACUCCUCUGUUUUU